GCCUAAAGCAGCCGUAGCUGGCUGAACAAGUCCCCUGUUAAACCCACCGAUUUAAUCGUUGGCGUGCGGGGGAUACUGCUCGGCUAGGGGACGAGAGAGGCAGACGGUAUUCCCGGGGUAGGGGUGAAAUCCUAUAAUCCCGAGAAGACCGCCAGUGGCGAAGGCUGUCUGCUAGAACGCGCCCGACGGUGAGGGAUGAAAGCUGGGGGAGCGAACCGGAUUAGAUACCCGGGUAGUCCCAGCUGUAAACGAUGCAGACUAGGUGUUUGGACGGCCACGUGCCGUUCUAGUGCCGCAGGGAAGCUGUUAAGUCUGCCGCCUGGGGAGUACGAUCACAAGAUUGAAACUUAAAGGAAUUGGCGGGGGAGCACCACAAGGGGUGAAGCUUGCGGUUUAAUUGGAGUCAACGCCGGAAAUCUCACCGGGAGCGACAGCAGUGUGAAAGCCAGAUUAAAGGUCUUGCUAGACGAGCUGAGAGGAGGUGCAUGGCCGUCGCCAGUUCGUGCCGUGAGGUGUCCUGUUAAGUCAGGCAACGAUCGAGACCCGCGUCCUCUGUUGCAACCAGUCUUGUGCUGGGCACACUGAGGAGACCGCCACUGAUAAAGUGGAGGAAGGAGCGGGCCACGGCAGGUCCGCAUGCCCCUAA
This 646-nucleotide ribosomal RNA is filed under the name uncultured crenarchaeote. RNAcentral's name for it is "bacterial SSU rRNA". It matches the Rfam family "Archaeal small subunit ribosomal RNA", at positions 508 to 1160 of the family's 1478-position model. The record is from RNAcentral. Lineage: Archaea; Thermoproteati; Thermoproteota.